RNAcentral lists this ribosomal RNA (466 nucleotides) under uncultured bacterium. Its description in RNAcentral is "partial 16S ribosomal RNA". It matches the Rfam family "Bacterial small subunit ribosomal RNA", at positions 28 to 507 of the family's 1533-position model. The record is from RNAcentral.
GACGAACGCUGGCGGCGUGCUUAACACAUGCAAGUCGAACGGUAAGGCUCCAGCUUGCUGGGGUACACGAGUGGCGAACGGGUGAGUAACACGUGGGUGACCUGCCCUGCACUUCGGGAUAAGCCUGGGAAACUGGGUCUAAUACCGGAUAGGACCAUGGUGUGGAUACUGUGGUGGAAAGUUUUUUCGGUGUGGGAUGGGCCCGCGGCCUAUCAGCUUGUUGGUGGGGUAAUGGCCUACCAAGGCGGCGACGGGUAGCCGGCCUGAGAGGGUGGACGGCCACAUUGGGACUGAGACACGGCCCAGACUCCUACGGGAGGCAGCAGUGGGGAAUAUUGCACAAUGGGCGGAAGCCUGAUGCAGCGACGCCGCGUGGGGGAUGACGGCCUUCGGGUUGUAAACCCCUUUCACCAUCGACGAAGGGUUUCUGACGGUAGAUGGAGAAGAAGCACCGGCUAACUACGUG